This is an RNA transcript of Trichomycterus rosablanca, 1264 nucleotides long. It is a transcript of the gene named apolipoprotein O, b, with no coding region annotated. The transcript has 8 exons. The record is from RefSeq and is a predicted model, not a curated record. NCBI's taxonomy places the organism in Eukaryota, Metazoa, Chordata, Actinopteri, Siluriformes, Trichomycteridae.
GAGGCGAUUUGUCUCCUUUGUGUUUCCGUACAAUUGGAGUCUAUAAAAAGCGAGAAUGUUACGCAGUUGGAAACUGAUAAAGAUCGGGCUGCCAGUGGCUCUGCCUGGUGCUUUUUCCUUAAUGUCAGGAAGUGUCUUUGCUGCCAGUGAGGAUAAAGAAACUGAUCCCGCACUAAUGACAGAUGAGCUGUCUCUGUACACCACCCCACAAUCCCGAGUGCACUGUGUGAAACCAGAGGUUGGCUCUAUGGAGCAAGGUGUAGCAUCACUGAGGAAAUCAGCUGAGCCUUAUAUAACAUGGUGCCAGGAAAAGACGUCAUAUACAAUGAAUAAGGCUGAGGAAAAUUAUAAGACAUUAGAGCCUAGUAUAAACACAUCUGUGGAGACCAUAAGAGACACUUUUGAGUUUCUGAAUGAUCCUCCAUCUGAGUUCUACCCAUGUGUCGGUGUUCUGGGUUUCUCCGCAAUUCUUGGACUUUACCUGGCCAGAGGUGGAAAGGUGAAAAGAUUUCUCUACCCUGCUGGACUUAUGACUCUGAGUGCUUCCAUGUUUUACCCCCAGCAUGCAGCCUCACUGGCAAAGGCGAGUCAGCUCAGCUUUGUAUAUUCCACAUUAAAACAUGCAGCGAAUUCCCACAUCUACUUUUCUUUUUUAUUAUUAUUACUCAAACAGUUGCUCUGUCAUUUAAUUGAACACAAUUUGUAAUGUCAUUUUUUCAGGCAGGGAAGGAGCAGAUAUUGAGUUGGGGUUUGCAGGGUCAGGUGUUUUUGGAUGAGCUGUGGAAGGGAAAAUCAUCCGUUAAGGACGAGAAAUGAAGAGUCAGAGAUCACAGAUGGAUCAAGUGUUGAAGAGGAGAAAGCAGUAAGUGCUGUGACACUGCUGAGCAUAUUUAGACCUUCACUGCAUCACUGCACAUUCCACAUGUAAAUCUAAACAGAAGUAUUUUUACACUAUUAAUAAAACUGUAUUAAUAGAUUAUUAUUGUUUGAUAUUAGUGUAAAUGUUUAUACAGUUUUACUUGCACUAAUGUGUAUUAUUAGGUCAUACUUUAUCAUUCUUAACUGUUCAUUAUCACUCAAAGCACACUGGUAGUUGUAAGUCCCAGUGUGCCCAGUAGCACCAGUGCUGGGCCCUAGAGUUGAUCAUGAAUUUAUUUUGAUGUACAGUAUGUUUAUAUUUAAACAUUUAUUUAUUAUUUAAUAUGUAAUAAUGUAUUCAUUCUGUGUUUACUGAGUUCUAAUAAAACCUGACUUUCUCAUUGUU